AGUGAGAUAGCUGGGUCAAAUGGUGGCUCAUUCCAACUUUUCUGAGGAAUUUCCACACUGCUGUCCAGAGUGGCUGCACCAAUCUGCAGUCCCACCAGCAAG
RNAcentral lists this microRNA precursor (102 nucleotides) under Marmota monax (woodchuck). Lineage: Eukaryota; Metazoa; Chordata; Mammalia; Rodentia; Sciuridae. The record is from RNAcentral.